Non-coding RNA from Paramuricea clavata, 73 nucleotides. Lineage: Eukaryota; Metazoa; Cnidaria; Anthozoa; Malacalcyonacea; Plexauridae. The record is from the annotation of a GenBank genome assembly.
GCCUUUGUAGCUCAGUUGGUUAGAGCACUGCACCGGAAUCGCAGGGCCGUAGGUUCAAUUCCUACCAGAGGAC